AGGUGUUUAGCUUAUAAACAAAGCGUUUACUUUGAAAGUAAAAUAAAGAUUAAAUAUUUAAUACCUU
Molecule: transfer RNA, 67 nt
Filed under: Farynala dextra
Lineage: Eukaryota; Metazoa; Arthropoda; Insecta; Hemiptera; Cicadellidae
Description: tRNA-Ser
Source: RNAcentral